AUACCUUUCUCGGCCUUUUGGCUAAGAUCAAGUGUAGUAUCUGUUCUUAUCAGUUUAAUAUCUGAUAUGUGGGCCAUUGGUCCACACGAUAUUAAAUUACUUUUUUGAAGGGGAGAGUCCAUUACAGUAGCUUGCUACUGGGUCUCUCAAGUGUCGCCCUUGCGUUGCACUAUUGCAUGGGCCUAGCACACCCUAC
Molecule: small nuclear RNA, 196 nt
Organism: Cajanus cajan (pigeon pea)
Lineage: Eukaryota; Viridiplantae; Streptophyta; Magnoliopsida; Fabales; Fabaceae
Rfam family: U2 spliceosomal RNA
About the family: U2 is a small nuclear RNA (snRNA) component of the spliceosome (involved in pre-mRNA splicing). Complementary binding between U2 snRNA (in an area lying towards the 5' end but 3' to hairpin I) and the branchpoint sequence (BPS) of the intron results the bulging out of an unpaired adenosine, on the BPS, which initiates a nucleophilic attack at the intronic 5' splice site, thus starting the first of two transesterification reactions that mediate splicing.
Source: Rfam